AUAAGCACCCACUUUAGAGGGCGCUUUCCAAAAUAAGCGCCCUCUAAACCCUUUAAAUUUCCACUUUAGAGGGCGCUUUCCAGUAAAAGCACCCUCUAAACCCUUAAAAGUUUCCACUUUAGAGGGCGCUUUCCAGUAAAAGCCCCCUCUAAACCCUUAAAAGUUUCCACUUUAGAGGGCGCUUUCUUUAAAAAGCGCCCUCUAAAGUGGCCCUUAAAGGGCUUAAAGAGCCACUUUAGA
This 240-nucleotide long non-coding RNA is filed under the name Lathyrus oleraceus (garden pea). RNAcentral describes it as "Pisum sativum (pea) long non-coding RNA (PSAT_LNC024478)". Lineage: Eukaryota; Viridiplantae; Streptophyta; Magnoliopsida; Fabales; Fabaceae. The record is from RNAcentral.